UUAACCCUUUGCCUGCCUGCCUGCCAACUUCAAAACUCAGCACCACACUUCAAACUUGGCAUGGCAUUCUAGGGGAGGCAGCAAUCUCCCGCCCUGCACAGCUAGGCCCAAGAUGCAGGGGAGGGAAAAGGCAGAAGCUGAACUACCUGGCCUAUUCCACCUGCUGCUCUUUCCCCUGGAGCAUCCCCCGGAGAGUGCCUCGGAAAGGUAGCAAGUGACACCGGCUGGUGCAAUAUUACAUCACAAACAGUUCCACCUGUUGGUUGGCCUUGGGAGAGAGAUGAAAACCCCUUCGGCUUUGAAGAAUGCUCAUACGGCACAGCUAUUGGCUCCAGCGAUGAAGAUGUUGCAAAGUGAGCAGCAGUGGGAUUUCAAAGAAGUUUGAAACGUGGUGAAAUUUGCAAAUCUGUAGUUUGGUGUGCUUGGCAAACCACACUGAUAAUUCUUCGUGUCCCUCAGUAUGAUUGAUUGAAAAUGACACUCCUUGCGUUUAUGAGGGAUAGAUGAGCAAUUCGAUAUCUGAGUUUCAAACGCCUGCAAUCAAGUGCCUUUCUCAAUCCUUCUAGCACUCUCAUGGGAUGCCCUGCAGUUAGAGGUCUCCAUUUAUUUUGGAAAGAAUGAAAAACCGGUCUGAAUCGGGCCCAUUCAGGUCCUUUUGUAUAUCUACCAGUUUAUUCAGAAACUCAUUUGUUUUACCAUAGCACCAGUUCUUUUUAAAAAUAAAAUUAAUA
Long non-coding RNA from Hemicordylus capensis (graceful crag lizard), 731 nucleotides. RefSeq lists it as uncharacterized. Lineage: Eukaryota; Metazoa; Chordata; Lepidosauria; Squamata; Cordylidae. The record is from RefSeq and is a predicted model, not a curated record. The transcript has 3 exons.